GACGUAGGGUGCGAGCGUUGUCCGGAUUUAUUGGGCGUAAAGAGCUCGUAGGCGGCUCGUCGCGUCGACCGUGAAAACCCGCAGCUUAACUGCGGGCUUGCGGUUGAUACGGGCGGACUAGAGUUCGGUAGGGGAGACUGGAAUUCCUGGUGUAGCGGUGAAAUGCGCAGAUAUCAGGAGGAACACCGGUGGCGAAGGCGGGUCUCUGGGCCGAUACUGACGCUGAGGAGCGAAAGCGUGGGGAGCGAACAGG
Molecule: ribosomal RNA, 253 nt
Filed under: uncultured bacterium
Lineage: Bacteria
Description: partial 16S ribosomal RNA
Rfam family: Bacterial small subunit ribosomal RNA
Source: RNAcentral